AGUCCUAUAGUUUAAUUUAAAACAUCAGGCUGCAAUUCUGAAAAUGCACAUAAAGUUGGGGCUU
RNAcentral lists this transfer RNA (64 nucleotides) under Alima pacifica. RNAcentral's name for it is "tRNA-Cys". It matches the Rfam family "tRNA". From Rfam's summary of the family: Transfer RNA (tRNA) molecules are approximately 80 nucleotides in length. Their secondary structure includes four short double-helical elements and three loops (D, anti-codon, and T loops). The record is from RNAcentral. Lineage: Eukaryota; Metazoa; Arthropoda; Malacostraca; Stomatopoda; Squillidae.